UAUGGGGCGGCGCGACGCUGCUUUGCCUCAAGUAGUCUAUGCUCCAGCAGGCAUGGGGAGACGUAGAUGGCGCCAUUGUCAGACAUUAGUCGAUCAGUUUUGGCUCCAGUUCACAAGGAACUACUUGCCAAAUCUCCAAACCCGGUACAAGUGGCAAAGGUCAUCAAAUAGCAUUGCUGUGGACUCCAUUGUCCUGAUCGUAGACCCAUCACUGCCAAGAGCUCAAUGGCCCAUCGGGCGAGUCAUCAAGACCAUCACUAGCCAGGACGGGUGUAUUAGAACGGCAGAAGUCAAGGUCAAAGACAGAGUCUACACACGACCAGUUGCUCGGCUUGUAGAACUUCCUGUCCUUCAGGAAGACACUUGAAGAAUUUCUGUCUUACACAUUUACAAGGCAAAUGUGGGGGCGGCUGUUAAGAAUUCUUCAAGUAGAGACGUUCAUACAGUUAGACCUUUAUUCUGAAACACCCGUUUAUUAUGAAAGUGCCAAGUUCAUUUCCUGUUUCCAGUGUGUGUUCAGCUUUGCUUGUCAUACUAGCAGCAGUACAGCAGUCACUGACGAUAAACUGCCAUGCAUCAAGGCUGCUUCGGUUCAUCGUUAAAUGCUUAAAUCUCUCUGAUGAGUCUGCGCUCUCUGACCGGAGCCCUGCAGUGGAGCAGGGAGAAGUACAUUGACUACAUAAUCUGAGACAAAUGAAGGGAGAUAGGACAACGGGAUCCAGAAAAGCUUUGCAUCCCAGCCUGCUGCGUAACGUGUGCGUGGGAAGCGAGCAGUCAGGGCGUGCUCCAUGCACCCGGUCACCUUGGAGAGAUCUGAACUGCACAAGAUUCCCAUGGACAAGCUCUGAGCUUUCACAUCUGAGAGAUCAAAAAUCAGAUAAAAGUGAUCUUAUAGAGCAUUUGUCUGUCAGUGUAGCUGAUUCAAAUGAACUGAACUUCUACUCACACUCAUCGAAGUAUGCAGCUCCAUAUGAGUCUUUAACAUCGUGGGGGAGGCGGGACCACAGUCUGCUCAGGUCAGCAUCAAUAAGAUCUAUGCGGGUGACGUUAGUUUUGAAGAAACCAGGCUCAAUAAUGCUCACUUUGAUACCAAAGUGCUGCAUGUCCCUCCUGGUCAAACGAAGCAGACAACGUGUCUCUUUAAAGCAAAUGAAAGACUUUUUACUGAGCAUUUUUUCAUUAGCACUAUACUGAGGCACAGUUCCGCAGGUACUUUAACUUGUGAGUAUAGGUGGGUAGUUUCCUUUUUUUUUUUUUUGGCACUUUAUGUUUUCACUUCACUGCAGUAGAUUUCAGUGGAAAAUACUACAUUUAAAAAUUUGCCUUAAAAGUAUGAUUUUUUUUUUUUUUAAAUUCAUAUUUUUUUAAAAACACUACGGCACUCGCACAAAUGGACCUACUCCAUCCUACCGAUCAUCAAGACACUCCAAACAACCAUAAACCCAUGAUACAGUUUGUUUCUCCAACUAUGCAUUGUGGAAAUGCCCCCCCCCCAUCAUUUUGUGUUUAUUCUUCUUUAUUUUGUGUCUCAUAUUGGUCAUUUCACGUUUCUUUGCAAGUAGCAACAACUGUAACUAUAAACCAUAUCUUUCUGCAGCAACAGGAAUAUUAUUUAAGGAUAUUUUCUGAUGAUACUUCUGUAUUUGGUCUUAGGCAGGAAUUUGAAGGCUUCUGGGGUCUUUCUUAAAGCUUAAAUGUUUUAACUGCUUCAUCUACCAUUUUAUACUACUCACCUGAUCUGCCCAUAAAACACAUGAAAAUACCACCCACUCAGAGCACAUAUAUGAUUUUGUUGCUCUAGUGAUGCCAAACCCAUCUUGCCCACCCCAGUGUUAACCCUUUACAUUUUUAUAAAUAGAGGCUUUUAAAAUUAUUAUUAUUUAAUUGGCACCUCUACAGUAUGCUUUUAACAACAUGUUUUUGUCCCACUACCUGAGGCUGUCAGAAAAGGCUUCCACUCCCCAUUUGGACAGGCAGUAUCCUCCACCAGUGAGAGACAGUCUGCCCAGAAUACUGGCUACAUUCACCACUCUGCCCCGGGCUUUCUUUAGGAGAGGCAGAAACUGGAGGGUUACUUCAAUCACUCCUAUGAGAUUCACAUCCAAAACCUUUGUGAAAUCCUCUAACUUCAUCCAUUCUGGUGGGCCGAUGGGUGUCGAUCUGCCAGCGUUAUUCACCAGACCCCACAGACCUGCAGGAUGUAGAAUAAUUAUCAACAGAAACAGCUCCUGAUCUUCAUCUCUUAAUUCUUUCUCUCCAUGUAAUCUUGACAGAUUAAACUGCUUACAGGCCAAGCAGAUGCUUCCCUGCAUCUGUAACACACUGAUACACACUGAGGUGCUACUGUAUGUACGACUUCAAUGCUCGUUUAUCUAUAUUUAACCCCAGAGAAGAGUUGUGCUGCGUGCUCCACGUAGGUUCGCCAAAUUUUGGUAUAAUAGGUUAUCCUUUUCUGUAGGCAUUUUUUAAAUACUAGGCAAUGCCACGAACCUUGUCUUUAUAUGUGCGAAUAUGCAUUUGAAUAUUGAACAAAAAUAUCUAGGUUUAUAUUUCUUGGUUGUUGGCACAGACUUAGAGCCCAUGCUAUCGUCAGAGCUCGGUCUUCAGUCUAGAUUUAUGUCUGAAGAAGGCUUCUCCCUCCUGUUUUUAAAAACAGGAUGUGUUACACGU
Archocentrus centrarchus (flier cichlid) is the source of this 2670-nucleotide long non-coding RNA. RefSeq lists it as uncharacterized. The record is from RefSeq and is a predicted model, not a curated record. The transcript is spliced from 3 exons. Lineage: Eukaryota; Metazoa; Chordata; Actinopteri; Cichliformes; Cichlidae.